Molecule: RNA transcript, 1517 nt
Organism: Capsicum annuum
Lineage: Eukaryota; Viridiplantae; Streptophyta; Magnoliopsida; Solanales; Solanaceae
Gene name: E3 ubiquitin-protein ligase HOS1-like
Exons: 4
Source: RefSeq, a predicted model, not a curated record
AAAUUUCUUACAAAGAAAUGAGUUAAAAAGCUAUUAAUCCUUUUUUUCUUUAUUGUUAAAGUUGUUACUAUAUGACCAGGAGGUCACUGGUUCGAGAUGUGGAAAAAGUCUUUUGCAGAAAUGCAGGACAGUAGACCCUUGUGGUUCUGCCCUUCCACAAACCCUACACAGUGUGAGCUUAGCGCACCAACUUUCCUUUUUGUUAAUUCUUUGUGAAAGAAAGGAUUACUGAUGUAUAGUCAGAAGAUAACCAUAAAAAAGAAAUCUUUAGAAAGUAGAACCGCUUAAGUUCUUAGUAGAUGGCUACAUAAUUUAUUAUGUUUUCUUAACAGCAGAAAACAAAUGUGACAGAUGUUUGUAUGGAUGAAAGUGUUGUGUCCAGUGAUCCCAUCAUUGCUUUCUUUCUUGACGAAGUGGUGGUCAAAGAUUGGUAAAAGAGAACGUUCAACAAUAUUUUAACUGAGACUCAAGUGAUAUAUAAUCUAACCAUGAGUAAACUGAAAGAAAACUUGAGUUUAUUUCUCAAGUUCUCUGUGAAGUUAGGUGAUAUCUCUAACGUUAUUGAUGUCUUGUAAUCAUCAUUCAAAGAUUCUCUCUCCGCAAAGCUUCAUGAUUUACACCACCUUCAAGAGUGCAUCUUAAAGACAAAAUAGGUAAACUUCCCUGAGAUUCUUGUCAAGUGGACCUUAGCCACCUUUUCUUCAUUUAUUAAUUUACCAGUUUUAUUUAUUGGUUUGCUUUUUGAAGAAACACAUAUAUAUGAGCACAGAAAGCAGGUAGAUUUAUUAUUUCUUUGUGCUACUUGCAUUAAUUAAAGAUCUUGGUUGGUGUGAUGAGCUAGUGAUUAUCUAUCACCACAUGCAUGUUGAUUGAAAAACUUCAGUUCCAACGUGUGUUUCUGUAUUUAUAUGUCAGAAAGAUCUGAUUUUCUAACUUAUCAAUUUUUGUUUUGCUUUGUUUUGUAUCUUACCGUCCUAACAACUUCUUGAUAGCAUUUUAUGAGAUUAUAAUUACUGUGCCAAUCUACAACACAUGGAGAUAAUGAUUUAGUGCAUAAGACAUGAGUUCUUGGAGAAUGUGAAGUCUAGGCAUAAAAAUUUUGAAUCUUGGCGAGCUCUGAUCCGUGAAAGGAAAUCUGCUGCAAUUAAACGUGCAUGGCCCGAUUCAAGCAGGGAGACUUGGAUGAUCAUGAAAAAGAGAUGGCACUUGCCUAUUUACAGAAGGAUGGGGGCUCUUUAUAUUCACGUUCAAAAAUACAGGAAAUGGCUGGAUGCUAUCCAUUUGAAAGUUUGCGAGCUACAGCUGACAUUCUCUUUUUACGAGGAAGUUCAGACUUUGUGGUUGCAAAACAAGCAAUUAUGAUGAAGGAGUACCAGCUCUGAAGGUAAGGAUGGAAACCUGCUGAGAGUACUGUGUUGUAGGCCGAGUCAUCUUAUAAUAUUGUCCUAUAUAUUUUUGUUAAUCUCAGAUUUGCACUCUAACGAGUUGUAACAUGUGCCACAAUUUAUGUGAUGAAA